GAGAGUAUAGCUCAGUGAUAGAGUGCAUGCCUUGCAUGCAUGAGGUCCUGGGUUCAAUCCCCAGUACCUCCA
Molecule: transfer RNA, 72 nt
Filed under: Camelus bactrianus (Bactrian camel)
Lineage: Eukaryota; Metazoa; Chordata; Mammalia; Artiodactyla; Camelidae
Also listed under: 2 other names
Rfam family: tRNA
About the family: Transfer RNA (tRNA) molecules are approximately 80 nucleotides in length.
Source: Rfam by way of RNAcentral